CAUUGUCGCCAAUGGCGAUGAGGUCAGUGGUGCCAAUGGUGGUGCCAAUGGUGGUCCCAAUCGCCAUUGGCGCCAAUGGAACACAACCAUUGGCGCCAAUGGAGAUUUGGACCACCAUUGGCACCACUGACCUCAUCGCCGUUGGCU
This 147-nucleotide microRNA precursor is filed under the name Mnemiopsis leidyi (sea walnut). Its description in RNAcentral is "microRNA mir-598". Lineage: Eukaryota; Metazoa; Ctenophora; Tentaculata; Lobata; Bolinopsidae. The record is from RNAcentral.